AGAGCGAACGCUGGCGGCAGGCCUAAUACAUGCAAGUCGAACGCACCUUCGGGUGAGUGGCGGACGGGUGAGUAACACGUGGGAACGUGCCCUUUGGUUCGGAAUAAUCCGGGGAAACCUGGCCUAAUACCGGAUGUGCCCUUCGGGGGAAAGAUUUAUCGCCAUUGGAGCGGCCCGCGUCUGAUUAGCUUGUUGGUGGGGUAAUGGCCCACCAAGGCUACGAUCAGUAGCUGGUCUGAGAGGAUGAUCAGCCACACUGGGACUGAGACACGGCCCAGACUCCUACGGGAGGCAGCAGUAGGGAAUCUUGCGCAAUGGGCGAAAGCCUGACGCAGCCAUGCCGCGUGAAUGAUGAAGGUCUUAGGAUUGUAAACUGCUUUUCUCGGGGAAGAGAACGGACGGUACCCGAGGAAUCAGCCCCGGCUAACUACGUGCCAGCAGCCGC
This 445-nucleotide ribosomal RNA is filed under the name uncultured bacterium. RNAcentral's name for it is "SSU rRNA". It matches the Rfam family "Bacterial small subunit ribosomal RNA", at positions 26 to 518 of the family's 1533-position model. The record is from RNAcentral.